Molecule: long non-coding RNA, 1097 nt
Organism: Dicentrarchus labrax (European seabass)
Lineage: Eukaryota; Metazoa; Chordata; Actinopteri; Moronidae
Exons: 2
Source: RefSeq, a predicted model, not a curated record
UUCAGUAUAAUCAGUAAAGUAUCCUUAAAGCACUAAAAGUUGAAGUUGUCCAAUAAUUGUAGUGAAGUAAAAAGUAAAAUACUUUCUUCUGAGAUGUAGUGCAGUAGAAGAAGAAAGUAGCAUAAAAAGAAAAGUGCCAGUACCUCAAAUUUAUACUAAAGCACAGUACUUUAGGGAAUACACAUUUCAUCAUUAGUAUUCUUACAUUUAGGUGUUCCAGUGGACAUAUUUGCAUUCUGACCAAGUGUGCAUAUGUAUGACAGAAAUGAUCUCUGAAGCUACAUGCUAUAUGCAGUGGUCUGAACUUUUCAUAUUGAUGUAUUACAGGCUCUGCUGAUUUCAGCACAAAGAAAGAAGUCUUCCAUAGGGUCAUGGGUGUUCGAAGGCUUCAAGAGGAGAAGAAGAUCCUUGUGAAAGAAAUGAAGCAGCACUGGGAGUCUCCCAAAGCCCAUGCCAGGGUCUUGUCCGAGUUGCCUCAGCAUCAGAGUGAAGACGCCAUGCAAAGACAUCUCACAGAGAAAGCAACAAAGGGUCACACCUGCCUCAUCCUUCCAGUGGGAAAUGAGAGAGCUGCAGCGGCAUACAAGAAAACACUACCUGCAUGUGCUGUCAUCAGCAGAUGACAUAAUGGACACAAUGGACAGUUCAGAUGAGUUCGACAUUGGCUGUGAAGAUUCAGAGUCAGAUGCAAUGUAAAACAGGAAGAUGUGGUGCUCAUGAUCACAGUGCACCGUGUGCGACACAUGGUCACACAGAGCAUGUGGCUUUAAAAAGUGACUAACGUAUGUGCUCAUUGUCAGGAUUAAGUUGGAGAUGACAGUUGUAGUUUUUGUAUUAGGUUGUUGUUAUUUCUGCAUUUGGUUUUGAAAUGUUUCAUCACUUAUAUAAGGUUGGAUUUUUCUACUGGGUUGUGGGAAGUUCCUGGUCUUACAUCUUUACAACACAAACCACUGUCCUUUACUGUCUUAUCUUUGAUUCACGUUCAGUUCUGCAUCUUUUCAGGGAUUUUCUUUCCAGUUGAUCUUUACUGUUUGAUUAAUAAUUGUUCUUUAAUGUUUAAUUAAACAAAGGCACAAUGAAGCUACAUUUCUGAUUGA